CCUUAGUGGCGCACGGGUGCGUAACGCGUGGGAAUCUGCCCUUGGGUUCGGAAUAACAGCUAGAAAUGGCUGCUAAUACCGGAUGAUGACGUAAGUCCAAAGAUUUAUCGCCCAGGGAUGAGCCCGCGUAGGAUUAGCUAGUUGGUGGGGUAAAGGCUCACCAAGGCGACGAUCCUUAGCUGGUCUGAGAGGAUGAUCAGCCACACUGGGACUGAGACACGGCCCAGACUCCUACGGGAGGCAGCAGUGGGGAAUAUUGGACAAUGGGCGCAAGCCUGAUCCAGCAAUGCCGCGUGAGUGAUGAAGGCCUUAGGGUUGUAAAGCUCUUUUACCCGGGAUGAUAAUGACAGUACCGGGAGAAUAAGCUCCGGCUAACUCCGUGCCAGCAGCCGCGGUAAUACGGAGGGAGCUAGCGUUAUUCGGAAUUACUGGGCGUAAAGCGCACGUAGGCGGCUUUGUAAGUUAGAGGUGAAAGCCUGGAGCUCAACUCCAGAAUUGCCUUUAAGACUGCAUCGCUUGAAUCCAGGAGAGGUGAGUGGAAUUCCGAGUGUAGAGGUGAAAUUCGUAGAUAUUCGGAAGAACACCAGUGGCGAAGGCGGCUCACUGGACUGGUAUUGAC
RNAcentral lists this ribosomal RNA (619 nucleotides) under Sphingomonas oligophenolica. Its description in RNAcentral is "bacterial SSU rRNA". It matches the Rfam family "Bacterial small subunit ribosomal RNA", at positions 90 to 744 of the family's 1533-position model. The record is from RNAcentral. Lineage: Bacteria; Pseudomonadati; Pseudomonadota; Alphaproteobacteria; Sphingomonadales; Sphingomonadaceae.